AGGCAGCAGUGGGGAAUAUUGCACAAUGGGCGCAAGCCUGAUGCAGCCAUGCCGCGUGUAUGAAGAAGGCUUCGGGUUGUAAAGUACUUUCAGCAGUGAGGAAGGUGGGUAUGUUAAUAGCAUACUCAUUUGACGUUAGCUGCAGAAGAAGCACCGGCUAACUCCGUGCCAGCAGCCGCGGUAAUACGGAGGGUGCGAGCGUUAAUCGGAAUUACUGGGCGUAAAGCGCAUGCAGGUGGUUUGUUAAGUCAGAUGUGAAAGCCCGGGGCUCAACCUCGGAAUUGCAUUUGAAACUGGCAAACUAGAGUACUGUAGAGGGGGUAGAAUUUCAGGUGUAGCGGUGAAAUGCGUAGAGAUCUGAAGGAAUACCGGUGGCGAAGGCGGCCCCCUGGACAGAUACUGACACUCAGAUGCGAAAGCGUGGGGAGCAAACAGGAUUAGAUACCCUGGUAG
This 453-nucleotide ribosomal RNA is filed under the name uncultured bacterium. RNAcentral describes it as "bacterial SSU rRNA". It matches the Rfam family "Bacterial small subunit ribosomal RNA", at positions 346 to 793 of the family's 1533-position model. The record is from RNAcentral.